GACAGAGGGUGCAAACGUUGUUCGGAAUUACUGGGCGUAAAGCGUGUGUAGGCGGCCGUGCAAGUCGGAUGUGAAAUCCCCGGGCUCAACCUGGGAAUGGCAGUGGAUACUGGCAAGCUAGAGUGCGGUAGAGGGUAGUGGAAUUCCCGGUGUAGCAGUGAAAUGCGUAGAGAUCGGGAGGAACACCAGUGGCGAAGGCGGCUACCUGGACCAGCACUGACACUGAAGCACGAAAGCGUGGGGAGCAAACAGG
RNAcentral lists this ribosomal RNA (253 nucleotides) under uncultured bacterium. RNAcentral's name for it is "partial 16S ribosomal RNA". It matches the Rfam family "Bacterial small subunit ribosomal RNA", at positions 524 to 776 of the family's 1533-position model. The record is from RNAcentral.